GCAGAGCCCGCCUGCCCUUUUCUCAGACUCCUGUUCUCCAACUGCUACCAACCCCUCUUCCAGGAAGGCCCCUGGAUUCGGCCUGGAUUGUUAUGGCUUGCUUUAAAUGAACUCCCUUGUUCUAAGCUAUUCCCUGUGACUGGUGUCACAGCGUGGCACUCAUCCCUGGCCUGUGUCUACAGGAGCUGUGUCCUGCUGGCUCUGGUGGCCCAUGGGGUUUCCUGCUCCCUUCCUGCCUCCAUGGGAGUUGGCUGAACUGUGGGGACCCUCUGGGAUGACCCAGGGCUUGGCCCCUCACUGUUUUCCUGCCUGGGCCCCAGCUGGCCCCUGUCCCCUCUGAGUGCCCUCACACAGACCCAGUGCAGCUGUCCCAGUGGGGCUGCGGCCAGGCCAGUCUCUCUCUUGCUCUGCACCCCCGGCUCUUUCCUGGCAGCCCUUGUGCUUUUUCCGGAGCCCCUCAUCCCUGAGGCUGCCCCGUGGCCCUGUGCCUGGCCCUGAAUCCCAGGCAAUCCUCCCUUGCUGCCGCCACCACCCCGGCCUCCCCGAGGCUUCCAUCCUAUUGGUGUUGUGAGGUUAGGGUCUGCAAGCCCCUUUUUCCAGGAAAGCCUUUACUGUCUAGUCCUUGGCUAAGGGAGGCUUAGGUGAUCCCUGCUGGCUCAGGUGUUUUCUUCACAUUCUUCCCAGACUGUGGGGCUGGGGAAUCCAAUUCUGAGUUCUGCUCUUGGUCUCACUUUACCCCAAUUCCCCUGGAUUGCAGGUCCCAUCUGCAGCUUCCUGGUCUCUGCAUCUGAGGACUCCCACGUGGGGAACUGGUUGGCCCCAUGAGCCUCCUUCCCAAGGCCCUUUGUCUGUAAGGAAGGAGACCUGAUGCUAGGUGUGCAUUGGAGGUGACGGUUCUGGCCUCCCGCUGUCACUGUCUUCCCAACCCUGCACCUGUGGGUCACCCUCUGCUCCUUGUUGUCCAGGCUGCUCUCGGCCCUGCCGUUCUGGGAGCUCAGCCAUCGCCCCCUCCCUCAGGCACGUGGGGACAUGUCAGGAAGCUAGGGCUUUUCUGCUUUCCCCACCACUCCUGCCUGGAGGGUUUCACGACUAGACUCCUAGGGCCCAACCUCCAGUUGAGGCCCAGGCUGCCUCUCCAGCAUAUGCUGGCAGCCCCUUCUCCUUCCCUAGGCCUAGGGCCCCAGCCUGCUGUCAGCUCUCCCCUCUCCUUAGCACCAAGCCCACGACACCCAUUCUUACCCAGUCCCCACCCCAAAUCCCCCUCUCUCUGUUGGCCUCCUCUAAAACUGCCCUCACCUGCAUCUCAGACCGCGCAUCUUCCGUCCUUCCCGUCCUUGCCAAACUAAGCAAGGUCACGUGUGAAGGAGUUCCCAGGGGGGUGAAACUCCUCCAGCAACUCUCGCCUCCCCUGAUUUAGAUAACUCCCAGAAUCUGCCAUGGUCUAGGGGAGAAAACUCACUCAUCUGCCCCUCUCUCUUCUCACUUUCUUUUCAAACAAAUUGUAUGGCUCAAUCCCCAUAUGUUAAGCACCAUGGCUGUGAAUUUAUAGACUUCAGUCCGGUUUCUAUUGCAGAGAACAGAAUUCUCUGUAACUAAUUUAAGCAGGAAAAAAAAUUCACAAGAGGAAACCAAGUGGUGGAUGGAAUUGUCAGGAGGGCUGCAGACCAGACUCAAGGGUGGCCUUUUCAAACUGACUUUAAAAAUAACUACGCAGGACUGACCCACCAAGGAAGCUGCCACCUGUUUCUGCUUCAUGGGGCUGCUGAGGGAAUGAAUCGGUCCCUCGGGGGGCCCUGGGCUGCUGGUGCCAGGAUCACAGCAGCUGCAUGGGUACCCCUUGGGUGCUGGCAAUGGGCUGUGGACUCUCAUUCUAGGGCAGGGACGAUGGCAGUAGAAACAUCUCUCUGCCUCACUGCUUCCUUCCAAGGCUCUCAGAAGAGCAUCUGAUCUGUAGAGCCCAAACAUCUGUCCUGCAGCUUUAAGAGGGUUUGGCAGGGUUGGGCUGAUGCCUCACAUCUGGUGUGUGGACCAGGGUGUGUUUAUUUCCUCGGCAGCUCCAUGAAGUAGGGGCUUUACCCCUGCUCUACACUUUGGGGGAAAGACUCAGAGACAGUAAUUGCCCCAAGCAAGCACAGCAUACCCAGAAGAGCUGGAAGGAGCUCUAACCCACUUUACUCCCAAACUUUGCCUGUUCCCCUGGAGGUCAGGGCCCAAAGACCUGAGUCCCAGAUCGGGCAUGGCCCAACGUCCCAACCUUAGGCCAGUGGAGUGUCAAGAGAUGCCACCUGUACAAUAAUCCCGGGGCCUGUGCCGGCCCUGUCAACCCCUGCAUCUCGUGUCUUGUUGCUAAAAUUCUGGUUCCUGCUGAGAUGUCUGCUCCAAAUCUUUCCUUUAAAGAUGGGAAGAAUGAGCCCCCAAAAAUAAGGGUUGGAAACGGAGAGAGCCUUCCUGUGGUCAUAGGAAGCAUGAUCAGGGAAGAAGAGGUCACGUCUGGCAGUUAUUUAGAUUAUAACCCAGAGACGGGGGUGGGGAGGAGGCAGGUGGCACCAGGAUUAAGGGGGUCCCUGCCACAGGGCAUGUAUGUGAGAAGGGUCUGCUCUGACCCUCUCCUAGCCCCCUGUUCUUCCCCACGGGCUGAUGAGUCUGCAGGGCCCACGGGCAUUCCCAGACACUUUCCACUUGACCAUGCUGCAAGCACCUGGGAUGCCAGGAUUGACUGUCCAGUUGGCCCCGGACAUGCUUCCAAGGCCUGUCCUUCCCAGGGUGGACUGUGCCACCCAUGUGGGCACUCCUAGGCAUGAGAGAUGACCAAGGAGUAGCUGCGUGUGGGAGGUGUAGGCAGAGCUUGAAUGCGUGGGGUGGCAGUCUCUAUGCAUGCCUGUGAGACCCUGUAAGUUGUGAAAUAGUGCUGUGGGCGAGAAGAGGGUGUCCUAUGGGCCAGAGAAUGGGGCUUGACUUUCCAUAGGCCACCACAUUUAGGGAGGCCAGGAAUUUGAAAUUCAAACCUGUUAGAGGUCAUCAUGAAGGUACAUUUGUCAAGGCAGGAGGAUAUUCUAACAGUUUGUUAGCUGAAUGGAGAACUUUUCAGUAUUUAGACACACAGGAUUUGGGCUUCCCUUUGUACUCAUGCCCAGGCCUAGAAAAUACUAGGGAUAGGCCUGGGCUCUGAGUUAAUGGGGCCUGGGGGUAGAAGUCAGAUGGUGUGGGAUGGGCCCCCUGUUUGGAGGAAAAGGCUAUACAUGGAGGAAAAGGAAGAGGAAGUGGUUUUGCUGUUUUGUGUCUGGGCAGGAGCAGGGUGGGCUUGGAAGGCUGCUCACAGAGGAGGGAACGACCCUGUGGGGACUGGGGAGGUGGAAGGGGAGAUGGCGUCACUUGGGCUCAGGAGUUGAGUGGGGCUGGCAGGAACUUCUCCUGGGGGUGGGAGGAAGGUGGGAUGGAACUGGCAACUCAUGGAGGGCAGGAUAAGGGGGUAGGGAGGAGGAGGGGCUCAGAAAGUCACUUUACAUUUGGAGUGUCUUCCUUUUGCCCUUUCCGGCUAAGUAAAAAGCAUAUUUUUCUCUUUUCUGCUGCUCAGCAGCAUCUCAUGGCCCCAGUGCUUUUCCUAGUUUCUUGCUCUGAGGGUCAACUCACAAGUCUUCUUCUACAUGCCAUGUGAGGCACCAGCCCUGGCUGGCACCUGUGGUGGGAAGGCCUAAAGGAGACAGCACCUCUGUCUCUGGGGAGCUGCCGGGAUGUGGCUGUCCCUUAGCUGUUUAUAACGGUCCUUUGACAUGGUUCAGGUGAGGGUUAAAGGCGGGAAGUAACCCUAGGAGACAGUGGAGCCUCGAGGGGCUCAGUCCCUGCUGUAAACCCCAUUCCAGAGGGCACAGUCCACCCAUCACAUAGCACUAGAGGGGAGCGCCGCGCUUCACUCUGCCCACUGCAGUGAGGCUUCUGGGCCAUCUUGGUUCUUCAUCUCCAUUUUUGUUCUGCCUUGUACGAGCCUCUUCUUUGUUCUGCUUUGUUGCCUUAUGGCCAGAGCUGCUCUUGCCUCCUGUUUUGUGUCUGAUAUUUCAGUUUCUGCAGCUCCCAUUUCCUGUCUUUGGCCCCUGCUUUCCCAGCUGCUUUCGGUCUAAGGAGCUUUCUGACUUUAGCACCUGAGAGUGGAAGUCUCCCCACUGACUCCCUGUUGACAGCUGAUCAUCGACUCCCCUCAGUCUCACCCUGAGCUGUCCCUGUGCCAGCCGGAUGGAGGUUGCUCAGCGGGGGUGGCGUGGGGUGUACAGAGGUACGUGGUCCACGGCUCUUAACUGGAGGACUUCACUGAGGGACGAGUCACCCACUGUGUGUCCGCACUGUGCUCACACACAGAGCUUCCAGUGCCACCUCACAAGAGAGCCAUGAGGGUGGCCUUAAUCCAGGUCUCCAUCUCUCUCUUGGAUUCCUGCCACAGCUGGAGACAGUCAUGGAGGUGCUAAAGUGUCGACUCACUGAUUCCCUACUUAGUGCACUCCUCCAAGCCCCAGGGCUUCCAAUACCAACAUAUGGAUAUAUGUUGGUGACUUCCAGCCCCACGUCCAUCUCAGAUAGCCCAGCGGCCCCCAAUCCUCCUGCUUCCUAUGUAAGUGGCAGUCCCCUGCCGCUCAAGCCAACAUGAUGGGCCUUUUUUUUGGAGCUAGUCUCCACCUUCCCCUCAUCUCAUACUGACUUGAUCUUGACAACUCAUCUCAAUCUGGCUGCUCCUCUCCAUGUACCCAUUCCCCUUGGGGUGCAAGCCACACCACCCUUCACUUGGGGGAUGAUAGCAGCCAGUGGGCCCACAUCUGGCUGUGCCCCUCAUCUGUUAAAUAAUCUCACAGGCUCUUCCAGCCAUGCUGAGAAGGCCCAUCACUGACUCGUGCCUCUGGACCUUGGCACCUGCCAGAAAUGGUAGUCCCACUCCCCCUGCCAGUGAUUGGCUUAGGAAUGGCCACGGGACCCAGUUCCAACCAGGAAGAGGAAGUGGGACGAGCAGAAUGAUCCUCCUUUAGAAUCGGUUGUAUCUAAUUGGGAUGCAGAUGCCCGAAACUCUGCAGUUUAGGAAACACUAGGGCCCUCUCUGUGAAACAUUGAGAUGUCCAAGUGGAAAGAGAACAAAUCCUGUAUUCGAAGAAACGGUGGACCGAGGCUCGCCCCGGCGGACCUGGACCUGCGUGCCUCUGCCUUCUCAUGUGAACUGAUGUCUCUUGCUUGAACUCACUUGAGUAAAGGUUUUGUGCCACUUGUAGCACGUGCAGAUGUAACCAUCAACACGGAACUCCUACUUCCUGGAGACUGUGGGGGAUUUGAACUUACUGUAGGUUCACGGAGUGACAAAGCUGUUUCUAGGGCCGAUGCAGCCGUGAGCCAUGUGAAUAGGAUCACGGGGUCUGAGCUGGGGGAGGUGAGGGUUCUGUGCUCUCCCGUACUGGUCAGACUCCACCUGGAGAGGCUAUGGUCAGUCCAGGGUGAAUAUGCCAGGAGGGAGGUUGACCCGCCAGGUCCACCUGCUGAGAAUGAUAGCAAUUAGAAGGGUUGGGAAUCCCUGCCACGCAAGGGAUGAGUGAGAAAAUGGGGCUUUUUCUCCUGGCAAAGAGAAGGUUGGCUGUGGGACUUCACUUCGGCUUCAGAUGCGUGCAGGGUGAUGUGUGGAGGGGGUGGCCACGCUCGUGCUGCUGACCAAGAGGAAGUCAAAGACAGUACAGAGUUUGUCAACAAUUGAGGGCAAAUUCAGACUUCAGUGGGUAUCAUUCUCACCCAGGGAAGUUGGUAAAAACAGAAGGGCCCAGGCCCUGUCUUUCAAUAAGCCUGGACUCCAAGUUGUUAGCACUCUAGGGGGUUCUAGGGCACCGCAACAUUUUUGCAAUGCCUGACUCAAGGGAAGGAAGCCAACAUUUGUGAGGCAUUUAACGUGAGCCACGUGUUGAGCUGGACCCAUCCCUGUGGCUCCCAUUUGAUUUUGACACAGAUUCUUAGAGCCAAGCACUGCUACAGAUGGUUUUGGGAAGUGUAGUGAGUUCCCCAUAAGAAGUGUGGCUAAAAAUCAGUAAGAAAAGGAUGAUCAGUGUGAGAGGAAAAGGAGAGUAGGAAAAGAGAAUUCUUAGAUGAAGCCAUAAAAAUGGCGAAGAAACCUAUGCAAAGAUACUCCUCUGUUGUGGCAGAGAUCACAAGCUGUUCUCCAGUAUCCACCUUCCCUUCUUCCACAGGAGCAAAACCCUUGAUUUUCAGCCAGGCAUGUGGUCUAUUAUUAAGACAUUCCCCAACCUCCCGUCUAGCAUGAGGCCCCGUACUCAAGUUCUGGUCAGUGAGAAGUAGCAGAUUCCAGGAACCGUCCCAAAAAGGCAGCUGACAGGUGUUCCUUAUUUCCUUUUUCUUUAUCUUUUUCUUGUGGCUGGAAUACGAGACAUAAUGGUUGGGGCUCCAGCAGCCUUAUAGGGCAGUGAGGAGACCUUGGGGACAGAGAGCCCACAUAGCAAAGUAAUAAGAGGAGGGGUCUGCGUGACCAAAACCAUGGAGUAGAGCUGACAUGCCAGCUCUAGACUGCCGUCCUCCUGAUUUUACUUAAGCAAUAAAUGUCUGGCUGGAGUCUCUGUUAUUUGUUCCUCUGCCUAUUCCUCGCUGAUAACAACAGAGAAAUACAAAACAAGACAAUGAACUUUCCAAACUCCUGAUCACUUUUCACUCACGAGAUUGGCAGAAACCUAAAAAGACGAUGAUAUUGUUAGAGACAGUGUAGUGCUGUGGUUCACAUCCCUCCUGCUCUGGACUUACCAGCUGUGGGAACAUGCACAAAGUGUGUAAUCCUCUGUGCCUCAGUUUCCUCACCUAAAAAAUGAGUGUCAAACCCAGUACUACCCCACAGAGUCAUUGUGAGGGAUCAGUGUUUAGAACAGUGCCCCAUACAGAGCACACAUAAGUGUCUGCCAUGACUAUUACUAUUUAGCUGGCGUACCUGAGGUGGGUGCGCAGGUGUAGAGGAAAGACGUUCACGCCUGGCCAGGAGUGUGAAACGUAGACAGCCAUUUCAGAGGGCUCUUGAUGUUUCAAAACUUUCAAACUACAUACAAGACUCCCCCCAAGGUGCCCCCUCUAACCCUGAAAUUCCACCUCUAGGACCCUGAAUCCCUUGGGGUCAAACGUGUUUCAGAUUUUCGGAAGGUAACUUGGCGCAUAUGCCCCAUCCUGUGUUACUCUUCCCCGGGGUCUGGGGCUGCCCCAUGCUGUAGACCCUCUGGGGUGUUCAGCCCACCUUAAGUGCACCUGGGGAAUUCUGGGGAGUGAAGGCACUUCGGGUAACCCUCAGCUGGUAGAGCCCAGGGGCAGGUGGGUAAGUGCCCAGCAGCCUCUAGUCCUUCAGAGAAGCACCCCACAUUGCUCAGGAGGUCCUAGAGAAGUCGACCGCCCCCUCCUGCAGUGCCCUCUGCAGUGACCUCCGUAAUGACCCUUGUAUUAUCUUCGCCCAACCCCCGUCUCACUCUCCCCGAUUGCUUCCUCCUGGAUUCUGGUGUCACCUUCCAAAAAAACACCUGCACUCAAGUCCUGUCUCAGGCUUUGCUUUUGGGGAACUCAGCCCAAGACAACCCCCUGAUGAAACACAUUAUUUCUUCAGCAAGCUGCACAUAUAUCACAGCAAGUGGGAGAAACAAAAGACGCUGAACACUCUCACGUCAAUUUGGGUCAGGUUUGCUGGCAAAUAGGUAGAAGAAAAGACGUAUGGUUCUGGGAGCAUUUGGGUUUCAUGGCUGUGGAUAUGGGACUGGACUGCACUCUGCGGAGCACAAAGGCACCCUCUCUUGCUGAGUUCACUCGGUGUGAGUGGAGAGGCUCCCCCGGCCAUGGACUGCACUCAGAAGGCCUGAGACAACAGCAGUCACCAGGAGUUGGGCCCUCCAGGAGCUGACACUCGAGUGUAGAAGAUGUCUGCUGGGGCUUCUGGCAACACUUGGGAAGGGGAGCCCUUGGGUGGGGAGACAAGGCCACAAUCGAUAGGUGCUCAGGGAUGGCCCCGCUGCAGAGGUGAGGUCUGAGAAGGGACUUGACAAUGAGAGGAAGCCUAGGACGCCAGCACCACCUCCACCUCGCCACGACGGCAGGUGCUCCUGAUGGGUCUCAGGGCGAGCGCACCCUCUGCCAGUGACAGGUCAGGUGUGGGCUAUGACCAGUCUCAGCCAAUGAGACAUCAGGGAGGGCCCGCAGGUGGCCUUGGGCCCGGCCAGCCUGGAUGCUGAGGCUGACCUACGAGGCUGACUUGAGGUGGGGAAGAGCAGAACAGGCAAACGGCCAGUGCUCACCCUGCUCCCUGCCAGGCAGCACUGUGGAUGGGCUUGUGGCCCACGUGAGACUGAGCAGCGAUUUCUGUCACUUGCGGCAGAAAACCUCCCACUGGCUAGCAAGCACCUUGUCCAUCCCAAGGGACAGACUGACAGGCUAUGGCUUGUCCCCAUCAUGGAACACAGCAGAGCGCCGAAAACAAAGAGGGGGUAUCCUCCCGUCCUGAAAAGGAACCAGCGACGAGAGAUGUCAUCUGUUCUCAACCAGGGGUAAUUUUGCUCCCUAGGUAGGUUGCCAGGUUAAGGAAAUAAAAAUGCAGGGCAGCCAGUUCAAGCUGAAUGUCAGACAGUGCAUAUUAACUAGAUGUCCUGUGUUUACUGUGGCAACCUUACCCCCAGGGGACAUUUGGCAAUGUCUGGAGGCAGUUUUGGUUGUCACUGGGGAUGGUUAGGUGCUACCAGCAUCUGGUGGGAAGGCACCGGGGAUGCUGUUACACAUUUCACAAUGCAUACGACAGCUGAGGCCAAAAAAAAAAAAAAAAAAAAAAAAAUUAUCCAGCCUAAAAUGUCAGUUGUAACAAGGGUGAGAACCCCUGUAUUAAAUGAAAGAUAGCAAAAACCCCAUAAGAACCCCAUAAGAUAUGGUAGGAUCUCAUUUGUACGUCCUGUAUUUACUCUGGCAACCCUACCCCCAGGGGACGUUUGGCAAUGUCUGGGGUUGUUACUGCGGAUGGGGUUGUGUGUGUGUGUUUCUUUUUUUCUUUUUACACACCCAACUAAGCCAUAGAGUCGCAUAGAAAAAGGUAUGGAAGGUCACAUACCUAAGUCAUGUGGGGUAGGGAGUGGUCAUUCCUUUUACUCUAAAUACCUUCUGCAGUGUUUUAUUAUUUGUGAAGUUAAUUAUAAUUGAAGUGAAUAUAUACGUGCAUACACACACACAGAAAGCAUGCCUAUCAAAACAAUAGAUAUUUCACAAAGUGAACGCACACAUGGCAUGGCCUCCUGAUGAAGAUGAAGAACAUGGCCACUGCUCCAUGAGGCCCUUUGCAGCCCUGCCAGCCUCUCCCUCGAGGGCUGCGAGGGGAACUGCUGUCCUGACUUCCAACCUGCUUUGGGCUCCACAUGAACCGAAUUCUGCCCGACGUCCUCGCUUGAGACUGGCGUCUUUCCCUCAGCAACGUGUCAUGAUUCAUUCAUGUGGAUCGGAGCAGCGGUUGGAUCAUUUUCAUUGCUGUGAAAUACACCACAAUGGAUUUAUGCAUUCAACCGUUGAUGGACAUUUGGGUCGUUUCCCGUUUGGCAAGAUGAUGAAGAAAGCUGGUAUGAGCAUUCUUUCACACGUCUUUUCUUGGGCAUAUGUACUCACUCCUGUUGAGUGUAAACCUAGGAAUGAAUCGCUCAGUCAUAGGGCAAAUGUGUGUUCCUCUUUCCUAGAUACCAUUCGAGUUUCCAAAGUGCUUGCACGGGUUUACGCUGCCAUCCACCAGAGAUGAAAGUUCCGCCUGGGCUGCUGCCUCCUGGCCAAGCCUGGCUGGGUUGUAGCUUUUGCGCUUUAGUCCCUCUGGUGGGUGUGUAAAUUGCUAAUCACUGUGAUUUUAAUUUGCAUUUCCCUGAUGAUGAAGCUGAGCACUUUUUCAUAACUUUAUGGGCCAUUUGAUUGUCCUCUUUUGUGAAAUGUCUAUUCGGGCCAUUGGUCCAUUUUUCCAUGAGGUUAUCUCCAUUUCUCUCAUUGAUUUGUAAUUAAGAGUCCUGUUGCAAAUCUCUUUUCCCGCCGUGCGGCUUCUUGCCUUUUCCUUUGCUUACAAUGCUCCAUGCUGUCCUGGACCCUAGCAUCACCCAGGCCUAGGUAAUAGAAGGGUGGCUUUUGUAAAGCGACUCAAGGCUGAGAAGGGAACAGACACUCUUAGCACAAUAAGCUACAGGCUGAAAAACAGCCGGAGGUGAAUGCAGCGUGAAUGGUCUGGCUGUCUUUUAUAAAAGUAACUCGAUUGGACUAGACCCCAUGAGGGCCUCUGCUCCUCCGCUCCCCUUUCCCUGAGGACCUAAUUCCCCACUGGGUCAGCCACAGAACCAGAUAGAGCUGGGGACUCACGACCCAUGCUGAAGACUGGAUGCAAGAGGAGGAAGGACUUUGGUGGAGAGAAGGAAUCAAAAGGAACCAAGGUACACAGCUGGGGGCAGGGGAGGUGAGAACAUGGGAGAGGGUUCUGGGAAGGGGCUUACUGCUGUCAUGGGCAGGACACAUUGAGUAGACCCCUUCCUGUGGUCUCCGUGUAGGCCAGAGCCACUUCUCUGCCUUUCUAUGCAGCCACUUUGCCCCUUGCCUGAAUCACUGUAGCAUCCUCUUAACUGGCCUGCCUGCUUCAGCCCUGGCCAUCCUCCACCCCGACCUGUGCCCAGCAGCCAGAAGUAGCAAGAUCGUUAAAAACGAACAUCAG
This 10705-nucleotide long non-coding RNA is filed under the name Pan troglodytes (chimpanzee). RNAcentral's name for it is "long non-coding RNA NONPTRT009785". The record is from RNAcentral. Lineage: Eukaryota; Metazoa; Chordata; Mammalia; Primates; Hominidae.